Molecule: long non-coding RNA, 5868 nt
Filed under: Phoenix dactylifera (date palm)
Lineage: Eukaryota; Viridiplantae; Streptophyta; Magnoliopsida; Arecales; Arecaceae
Description: long non-coding RNA (PDAC_LNC004281)
Source: RNAcentral
AUUUUUUUUUUUUUUGUCUAAAGCAGUUUAGAUUAAUUUCUAUUUCACGUUUCUUUUAUUGAUGGGGAUAUAGGCUGAUAGUACAUACUUCUUCGUCAAAAGGGCAAUCUCUCAUUUACAAAUCAACUUCUUGAAGGUAACUAAGCAGCUGAUGUCAGCUCUCUUUCUGAAUUUUUUCUUGAGGGCUCUUGCUGUCACCAAAACAAAACAAAAAAAUCCUACCUAUAAAUAAUAUUUCUUAACUGCAUCCUUCGAUUUCAAGAAAUAGAUUUUAUAAGACAACAAAAACCACUCGCAAAUAUUUAUUUUAUUAUAUAACUCAAAGCCUUUAAAACUAGCUGGAGUCUCAUAUCAACUUUUUCAAUAUGAUCCUAUAUUUAAGAGAAUAAUAUUUGGAAGAUUGAGCUCCUUUGUGUAUCAUUACCACACUUCCACCUACAUGCUAUUCCCAUCUUAAGUAAAUAAAUGUCACAUAUUUUUGUUAAGGGAGAGAACUAGGAGAAGUUCAUCCUUUAAAAGCUUCAUAAUGCAAUUUAGAUUUUAUCGAAAUAGUAUAAGGUGAUUUUAACUGGAUACAACCAUCAUCUCAUGUUUGGACACCAAUUAUGAAUAAUGAUAGUAUGCCAAGAAUGUAAAUUUGCAUUUUGUAACUGUGCAGGUUUUCUAGUUUGCCAUACCAUUUAUUAUCAUAAUAUUUGUAGAUUAAGCAAUCCAGAUUAUUUCACUUUGUGCAUCAUUUUUUACUAUAAGAUAUAUGAUAGAGGUCUUAUAUGGAUUGAGGAUGAAGAGUUUUGGGAGUGGUGGUCUAUGAUUUCGGUUGUUAAUCCUAUUAAGGGCAUGUUUGGAUGAUUGGACUGAAAACUUUAGAGGAUUCGUGAGUUGCCUCAAAACCUAUCAAAUUGGAUAGAGAGGUUAAAAAAAAGCAAAUAAACCUGGAGACUGCAAAAGAGAUUCUUAGCUGAGAUGAAGUUUCCAGUCUACAAUCUUGGAUUUCCUCAGCAGAAGAGGAAGAAGGCAUAAGACCCAUGGUACCAAGCACAUCAUUAACUUCCUUCUCCAAUGCAAGCAGAGCUUGAAUAAAUGACUGCUGCUUCUUCUUCACCUAUACAAGUACGGAAUCAGAUUACAAGAGCAAUUUUAGCCUAUGAGUAGCAGAGAACUGGACAUUCUUGGGCACAACCACUCUAAUUUAGAUAAUGUAACAAUAAUACCUCUGCAUAAAGAUAGAUGAGAAGAACAAUACCUUCAAGUACUCCUUCAAGGUACUGUUUAUGGCCUUUUAACAGUUCCAUCGGAUCAUCCAAAACGACAGUGGGUGUGCAAGUCACCUGACAUCGAAGCCAAGAAGUUGGCCAUUCUGGAGGACUUGGAUUAAAGAGAGCGAGUUGCUUAGAGUAUUCCGAAAUUUAUUAUAUUUUGAUUCUUUAAAUGUAUUCAUAUUAGAUGGUAUAAGUAUAGUUCAUCUGCUGUAGCAAAUAAAAAAGAAAAAGUUAGAUAUAAAUCAAUGGUUGUCUGAGAAUAUAUAACCUAACCAAUACAUUAAGGGUGCUUUACAUAGCUUUGAUGAUAUUAUACUAUAUUAAUUAAUAUAAUAUCUUCAUUAAAUUUAAAAGAAGAUUUGAAUUAGAAUAAUAUUUAACUAAAUAAAUUUUUAUGAAGAAUCCGAUAACAGUCAUUAUUCUCAUUAUACAAAGCCAUAUGGUUCUUACAUGUGCAUGAUACCCAGAAUCUUGAAGUGGGAGGUGUUAGAUUUAAUGAAAUCUAACAUCAAACUAGAGAGAUUAAUAAAUAUUUAUUUAUCUCGGUGAAGACACUCGAGCAAACAUUGUAGGGAAACUUAAUAUUAUAAUAAGAACAAUCUUUAAAAAUAUUAUUUUGAUAAAAUGGCGUAUGUUUUUAAUUUAAACGUUGGAAGCAUGGUCGAGUGCGGAAGAGAACUAACGGCCUCCGGAUGCUCGCGUCCCAGCGACGGAGGAGAAGAAGAAUAAUCCCCUCCAACGGUCAGCACCGCCGUCUCACGUUCUCCGCCUCCACUCCCCGGCCUCCCUCUGCAACCACCGGCGACGCCUCCUCAUGGACCCGCGCGAUCCGGUCCUCGGUGGAGCUCGGCCGCUUCUGCCACGCCGUAGCCCUCUACGCCCGCAUGCAGCGCACCGGCCACCGCCCCGACCCCUUUGCCGCCUCCGCAGCUCUCAAGGCCUGCGCCCGCCUCCCCUCCCGCCCCCUCGCCACCGCCAUCCACGCCCAGCUGCACAAGCUCGGCCUCCGCUCCCACGUUUACCCGGAGACCGCCCUCGCCGACUUCUACUCUAAGCUCGACGGCCCCGACGCCGCCAGGAGGGUGUUCGACGAAAUGGCCGUGAAGAAUGUCGUCUCCUGGAACUCCAUCCUCUCCUCCCGCAUAAGAGCCGGAGAGUUGGGAGCCGCCCAGAGGGUCUUCGAUGAGAUGCCAGUGAGGGACGUGGUUUCCUGGAACUCGAUGGUCUCCGGGUACGCCAAGGCUGGGGACAUGGACCGCGCUGCUGCUCUUUUCCAUUGCAUGCCCGAGAAGAACCCUGCCUCUUGGAACGGGAUGAUAAGCGGGUAUAUAAAUCGCGGGAAUAUGGCAAUGGCGAGAGAACUGUUCGAUGAAAUGCCCGUGAGAAGCAAUGUUUCCUGGAUCACGAUGAUUUCUGGUUAUACGCGGAGCGGGGAUGUUGAAUCUGCAAGGGAGCUAUUUGACAAGAUGGAAAGGAGGGAUCUUUAUGUGUGGAAUGCGAUGAUCGCUUGUUAUGCACAGAACGGAUGCCCCAGAGAGGCGCUUCAGUUGUUCAACAGGAUGCGGAAGCCUGAUGUGGGCGUGCAGCCUGAUGAGAUGACCUUUUCUAGUGUCAUAUCGGCUUGCUCGCAGUUGGGGGACUUGAAAUUUGGGUUGUGGGUUGAAGAAUAUAUGUCUUCUAUUGGGAUCGAAUUGGAUGAUCAUUUGAGUACUGCUCUUAUAGAUUUGUACUCAAAGUGUGGAGGAAUGGACAGGGCUUUUGUGCUUUUUGAUGGGUUGAAAAAGAGAGAUACAGUGUCUUAUAGUGCAAUGAUCUUGGGAUGUGGCAUAAAUGGGAGGUCUUCGGAUGCAAUUAGUUUGUUUAAAGAGAUGUUGGAUGCAAAAAUAACACCAAAUGCUGUAACCUUUGUUGGGCUUCUGACAGCAUAUAGUCAUGCUGGUUUGGUGGAGGAAGGGCGCAGAUGCUUUGCUUCAAUGUGGACCAAGCAUAAGAUUCCACCCUCGGCCGAUCACUAUGCAGUUAUGGUAGAUCUUCUUGGUCGGAGUGGAAGGUUGGAAGAAGCAUAUCAGCUGAUUAGGAAGAUGCCGAUGCGUCCCCAUGUUGGUGUAUGGGGAGCCUUGCUUCUUGCUUGCAGGUUGCAUGGCAAUGUAGAGCUUGGGGAGCUUGCUGCUCGGAAUUGCUUUGAGUUGGAGCCUGAAGCAAGUGGGUAUUAUGUCCUCCUGGCUAACGUCUAUGCUGAAGCUGGAAAAUGGGACAAGGCGAAGAGACUAAGGAAGAUGAUGGUGGAAAAGGGGUUAACUAAGAUCCCAGGGUUUAGCUUGGUGCAAUCCACAUGAAGACCCUUCUGUUCGAACACAGUAGGAUCGCUGUUAUGCUGCGAUUCAGAGUUAAAAAAUGCUUGAUGUUGAUGCAUUAUACUGUGAUUUGUAAAGCCAAUGACAUUUCAUUGGAGUAAGGCUGGCAUGGUUAAGGUAUGGAAUCCAUGAACAGCAGGUUCAACUAAGUGCUAGCAUUUAGCUACAUCAAACACUUCUCAGGUAUUCCUUGCUUGAAAUCUAGAUUUUCAUGGCUGAUUACCACUUUAAUGGAGGAAUUGCAUGUCUUGGCUGAGUAUAUGAAAUGCAUGAAUUGCUCCUUGAGUUGAUUUAGCACCGUCAAAUUGUGGGAUUGUGAAGAGAAACAUUCACUGGCUUCUUAUAUGGGUAUUAUAAUGUUGGCUGCCUUCACCGAAUAGCUUUGGUGUCUUUUAACUCCGCAUUGUGACCUCACAUUGCCAUUGACAGGGGAUACUUCACAAAUUGAUUGGAGGAGUACUUGGAGCAUACAAUUGAGAAUGUUGGGAACAGGAACCUUUGGGUCCUUUGAUCGUACAAUUGUGGGCACUGUUUUUGUCAUACAUUCAUCUUGACAUGAUUUUUCCGACACCAGAAAGCUGUUUGAAUUGUUAGGUAUGUUAUAUCUGAGUAUUAACUCGGAUGAUUUUGAGCUUUGUUUUCCAUUGUUUCCAAGACUUUAAUAUCUUAAACCUGCGUAUGAGUUCAAUGAAGCUGUUCUUAGCCCAAUCCCAACGGGACAUUUGGGAGACUGUUUUCUUGGUUAGUUAAGUGUAAUAUCUUACUUGUAAAUAACUUCAUGCAUCUUGCGCCAUAUGUAAUAGCUAAUAUUAUCACUGACGAAAAGGAGCUCCAGUUUGUGAGAUUAAUUGUUGUUACAUAUAGGCGCCUGAUUUGCCAACUCUUUGAAAAUGCCAAAGAGAAGUGGAAAGUUACAAUUAAUGAACCUUGAAUUUUAAAUCUCAACCCGACCCGUAUUUGACUUGUCAUAAGCAGGUUUGGGUUUGGGUUAAACGGGUUCGGAUCAUGAAGAGGUCGACCCAUUUAACCGAUUUAAUAUUCAGGUUGGGUUUGAGUUUCAAAUAUAUGAUCUGUUUAACCCAUUUAAUGCAUUUAAUAUUAGGUUUGGGUUGGGUUAGAUAUCCCGCUUAAUCCAUUAAAUCCAUUUAAAACUUAUUUAACCUGUUUAACCUAUUUCUGUCCUAUUUAACUCGACCCACUCAACAUGUUUAACCCAUUUAAAUCCAUUUGACCUGUUAAAAAUCCACUCAACUUAUUUAAUAAAUUGGUCGGGUUUAGAUUUGAAUUCUGAUCUAUUUAAUAAACAAGUCUGUUCGAAUUGACGAAUUUUUAAUCUAACCCGCAACCAACUUGAUCCAUAUCCGACUCGACCUGAUUGCCACCCCUACCCCUGCCCCCUAAUUGUUGGUAUACAUUGAGAAACCAAUUACUACGGCUAUCUAAAUCACUAAAGCAUUGGAACUUCUGCUUUCUUGGUAGUUCUCAAAGACCAAUUGCCACUUAUGCUUGAUUUUUUUGCGAGAAAAGUGUCCCUGAAACUCUCUUCUUGUCAAGUGAGAUCAUGUUAUAACUAGAUAGCAGUAUGUGAUACAGCUUUGUACUACAGGCACGAUAUGCGUUUCAUUUUCAUUAAGCAGUCAAUCAUUUAUAUUUUUCAUUUAUGUACCAUCAAUCUAAAAUAUGAUUGUGAAAUUACUGUUAAGCCUCUCUUGAAGCACUGAUCUGAGUGUACCUACCUCAAACCCAUAUCAGGCUGCUUCAGUAGAUCUUGGAAAAUUUUAGUGUCAGAAGAAAUUAAAUCAGUCAGCUUGGUUAGAGACCACACAAGCUGUUGGGAAUUGGUAUUGCAUGAAUGCAUUUGCUCGGAAGCAAUUCCAGAUGGUUAUGCAAUGCCAGAUGCAAAUAACACAACAAUCAGACUAGUAAUGGAAGCAAUAAUACAAUGUGCUCAGAAAUGAACAUGCAAACUAUUAAUAGAGAGAACUGAUAAGUACCUUCAAGUCAAAUUUCUCCUUACAACACCUUAUGCAAGCUUCAUUGGACUUAUUGCGCUCAGGACAAUGCUCUUAUUUCCAGCUAACUUUAUCCAGUCUUUCUGCUUGAUACCUUCAUGAUCAUUACAUACAAUCUCUAACAAUACAUGCUCUAGUAAAAGUUUGCUGCAGAAAACUGAUAGACUAGCAUCUUAUACUUGUUACGAAUAACCAUAAGUGAAACGUAAACGAGAAAAAGGAAAUUAGGAAUAAGAAGUACUC